This is a non-coding RNA of Gossypium hirsutum (cotton), 145 nucleotides long. NCBI's taxonomy places the organism in Eukaryota, Viridiplantae, Streptophyta, Magnoliopsida, Malvales, Malvaceae. The record is from Rfam.
CUAUUAAAAUUUCAUCCAUUUCUAUUGUUUAAAAUAGAUGUGGCUGAAGGAAUAACUAAGUAGUUAAACGUGUUGUAUCACAUGCACCUCAUACUAAAAUAGAAUGACCAAUUUUUAACCAUAAAAAUGGAUGGAGUUUUGAUCA